RNA transcript from Quercus robur (English oak), 1585 nucleotides. It is a transcript of the gene named histone-lysine N-methyltransferase SUVR3, with no coding region annotated. The record is from RefSeq and is a predicted model, not a curated record. The transcript has 3 exons. NCBI's taxonomy places the organism in Eukaryota, Viridiplantae, Streptophyta, Magnoliopsida, Fagales, Fagaceae.
AUCCUCCUGAUACACACUGUCGCAUCCGAAAUCUUUUGCAGCUUCGCUCAAAUGUGGGAACCAGACACAAAAAAACGUUGCCAAACCAAUGAACAUCAACAAGAGCCUAAUAACCCAACUGGACCUUCCCUCCAAUGCUUCGAGCUAAUCCUCCCAUGGCUGACCCCAAUAGAAUUAGCCAACAUUUCUCUAACCUCCAAAUCCCUAAACCAACUCUCCAAAUCCACCACUCUCUGCCGAUCCUCCGACGCUUCCAGAUCCUUCGAAAACCUCCCCAUCCCGUUCCACAACACCAUAGAUCACCACCCAUAUGCCCAUUUCAUCUACACCCCAUCACAGAUUUUCCCUUCUUCUUCUUCACAACUCCAACGCCAAUCAUGGGGUUCGCUGGGUUUUGGCAGCUCGGUGAGUCGACUCUGCGUGGAACCGGUGAGUUUGGUGGACGAGUUGGGGCACAGCGUGUCUGGGUGUGAUUGCGAGAGGUGUGACGAUGAGGACCCAGAUGGGUGUCCUUGUUUUUCUGAGAUGGAUGAGUGGGAUACGGGGAACGAGUGCGGACCGAGUUGUGGGUGCGGGUUGGAGUGUGAGAAUCGGUUGACUCAGCGAGGUGUUUCGGUGAGGUUGAAGAUUGUGAGGGAUAGAAGGAAAGGUUGGGGUUUAUACGCUGAUCAGUUCAUUGAGAAAGCCCAAUUUGUUUGCGAGUAUGCAGGUGAACUUUUGACAACCAAAGAGGCAACAAAUCGGCAACAAAUGUAUGAUAAACUUGCAUCAGAUGGGCAUUUUUCUUCUGCUCUAUUGGUUUUGAGGGAGCAUCUUCCAUCUGGAAAGGCAUGUAUGAGAAUCAACAUUGAUGCUACAAGGAUGGGAAAUGUGGCACGGUUCAUUAACCAUUCAUGUGAUGGUGGAAAUUUAGUGACAAAACUGGUAAGGAGCUCGGGAGCUUUGGUGCCCCGCAUUUGCUUCUUUGCUUCAAGAGACAUAAAAGAAAAUGAAGAGCUUGCCUUUAGUUAUGGUGAAGUGAGGUUAAGGGCUAAUGGUCUGCAGUGCUUCUGUGGUAGCUCUUUUUGCUUUGGAACAUUGCCUUCAGAAAAUACUUAGUUUUAGUUUUUCCUUGUACCGACCCAAUGACCUUGAAUUCUGUCUUCACUCUUCAAGUGAUGAGAUGGAGGGGAAGGGAAUAUAGAAAAAGGCUUGGAGGAGGAGAAGGGGAUGUUGAGGGGAAGGCAGGUUGAAACUGUCCCAGAGCCCCCUCUUUUUUCUGGGGUGAGAAAGAAAAUGAUUGAAGAAAAAAGGAGCAAGAAAAUGUAUGUUUUAUGGCCUUUUAAUUUUAAGGCCAUGUUAAUUAUUUUUGGGGUGAGAAAGAAAAUGAUUGAAGAAAAAAGGAGCAAGAAAAUUUAUGUUUCGUGGCCUUUAAUUUUAAGGUCAUGUUAAUUCCUUAUGUUGUUCAAAACAUGUAUAACAAAUGGCCACUGACAUCAAAUUUGUUGUAUUGAAAAUGUGUGUAACUGUGUAAGUUGUAUUCAAAAUGUGUGUAACUCUGUAAGUUGUAUUCAAAAUGAGUUAAAUUUGGCAUUGGCUUGGAAAA